Molecule: ribosomal RNA, 206 nt
Filed under: uncultured bacterium
Lineage: Bacteria
Description: partial 16S ribosomal RNA
Rfam family: Bacterial small subunit ribosomal RNA
Source: RNAcentral
CUCGUAGGCGGCCAACUAAGUCAGACGUGAAAUCCCUCGGCUUAACCGGGGAACUGCAUCUGAUACUGGAUGGCUUGAGUUCGGGAGAGGGAUGUGGAAUUCCAGGUGUAGCGGUGAAAUGCGUAGAUAUCUGGAGGAACACCGGUGGCGAAGGCGGCAUCCUGGACCGACACUGACGCUGAGGAGCGAAAGCCAGGGAGCAAACG